This 781-nucleotide ribosomal RNA is filed under the name uncultured bacterium. RNAcentral describes it as "bacterial SSU rRNA". It matches the Rfam family "Bacterial small subunit ribosomal RNA", at positions 28 to 806 of the family's 1533-position model. The record is from RNAcentral.
GAUGAACUCUGGCGGCGUGCUUAACACGUGCAAGUCGAACGAAGCACUUUACCUGAUUUCCUUCGGGGAUGAUUGUUCUGUGACUGAGUGGCGGACGGGUGAGUAACGCGUGGAUAACCUGCCUCACACGGGGGGAUAACAGUUGGAAACGACUGCUAACACCGCAUAAGCGCACAGCACCGCAUGGUGCAGUGUGAAAAACUCCGGUGGUAUGAGAUGGACCCGCGUCUGAUUAGGUAGUUUGGUGGGGUAACGGCCUACCAAGCCGACGAUCAGUAGCCGACCUGAGAGGGUGACCGGCCACAUUGGGACUGAGACACGGCCCAAACUCCUACGGGAGGCAGCAGUGGGGAAUAUUGCACAAUGGGGGAAACCCUGAUGCAGCGACGCCGCGUGAGCGAUGAAGUAUUUCGGUAUGUAAAGCUCUAUCAGCAGGGAAGAAAAUGACGGUACCUGACUAAGAAGCACCGGCUAAAUACGUGCCAGCAGCCGCGGUAAUACGUAUGGUGCAAGCGUUAUCCGGAUUUACUGGGUGUAAAGAGAGCGUAGACGGAGUGGCAAGUCUGAUGUGAAAACCCGGGGCUCAACCCCGGGACUGCAUUGGAAACUGUCAAUCUAGAGUACCGGAGAGGUAAGCGGAAUUCCUAGUGUAGCGGUGAAAUGCGUAGAUAUUAGGAGGAACACCAGUGGCGAAGGCGGCUUACUGGACGGUAACUGACGUUGAGGCUCGAAAGCGUGGGGAGCAAACAGGAUUAGAUACCCUGGUAGUCCACGCCGUAAA